Molecule: unclassified non-coding RNA, 338 nt
Filed under: Hevea brasiliensis (rubber tree)
Lineage: Eukaryota; Viridiplantae; Streptophyta; Magnoliopsida; Malpighiales; Euphorbiaceae
Source: RNAcentral
AGUUCACAUAGUCAAUUGCAUUCCCAUGGUGUUUCCAUAGUUCCAAGUAAUGGCUUUGGACCUCCCCAUCAUCAUCAUAGGGCGCAAUUGAAGAAAAUGAUAUGGUCCCACUUUCUUUUAGACUAGUUAUCAGCCGUCCGAUGCAUUCAGAGAAUGUAUCAGGAUCUGAUCUGAAGUGUUCAUAGUCAAUAUCAAUUCCAUCUAUGUUGUAAUGUUUUAUCAUAUGAGUUAGUGAAGAUACGGCAUUUUUUACCCAAGAUUCUAUAGACUUUGGAGCAAAAUAUGCUUUCUCACCACCAAUACUGUCUCCACCCAAGCUCACAGCAACCUUGACAUUA